RNAcentral lists this ribosomal RNA (472 nucleotides) under uncultured bacterium. RNAcentral's name for it is "bacterial SSU rRNA". It matches the Rfam family "Bacterial small subunit ribosomal RNA", at positions 355 to 825 of the family's 1533-position model. The record is from RNAcentral.
UGGGGAAUAUUGGACAAUGGGCGAAAGCCUGAUCCAGCCAUGCCGCGUGUGUGAAGAAGGUCUUCGGAUUGUAAAGCACUUUAAGUUGGGAGGAAGGGUUGUAGAUUAAUACUCUGCAAUUUUGACGUUACCGACAGAAUAAGCACCGGCUAACUCUGUGCCAGCAGCCGCGGUAAUACAGAGGGUGCAAGCGUUAAUCGGAAUUACUGGGCGUAAAGCGCGCGUAGGUGGUUUGUUAAGUUGGAUGUGAAAUCCCCGGGCUCAACCUGGGAACUGCAUUCAAAACUGACUGACUAGAGUAUGGUAGAGGGUGGUGGAAUUUCCUGUGUAGCGGUGAAAUGCGUAGAUAUAGGAAGGAACACCAGUGGCGAAGGCGACCACCUGGACUAAUACUGACACUGAGGUGCGAAAGCGUGGGGAGCAAACAGGAUUAGAUACCCCAGUAGUCCCUGAGCGGGCUGGCAAGGCGCAU